CUACAUUGAACUCAGAUUUCGUCAGCAGCGGGCUGUGAUGAUUAUGAACAAGUUCGUUGUCGACGAAACCUGCAUACUGUGUGG
Molecule: non-coding RNA, 84 nt
Organism: Drosophila virilis
Lineage: Eukaryota; Metazoa; Arthropoda; Insecta; Diptera; Drosophilidae
Source: Rfam